RNAcentral lists this ribosomal RNA (666 nucleotides) under Priestia megaterium. Its description in RNAcentral is "bacterial SSU rRNA". It matches the Rfam family "Bacterial small subunit ribosomal RNA", at positions 60 to 707 of the family's 1533-position model. The record is from RNAcentral. Lineage: Bacteria; Bacillati; Bacillota; Bacilli; Caryophanales; Bacillaceae.
AGUCGAGCGAACUGAUUAGAAGCUUGCUUCUAUGACGUUAGCGGCGGACGGGUGAGUAACACGUGGGCAACCUGCCUGUAAGACUGGGAUAACUUCGGGAAACCGAAGCUAAUACCGGAUAGGAUCUUCUCCUUCAUGGGAGAUGAUUGAAAGAUGGUUUCGGCUAUCACUUACAGAUGGGCCCGCGGUGCAUUAGCUAGUUGGUGAGGUAACGGCUCACCAAGGCAACGAUGCAUAGCCGACCUGAGAGGGUGAUCGGCCACACUGGGACUGAGACACGGCCCAGACUCCUACGGGAGGCAGCAGUAGGGAAUCUUCCGCAAUGGACGAAAGUCUGACGGAGCAACGCCGCGUGAGUGAUGAAGGCUUUCGGGUCGUAAAACUCUGUUGUUAGGGAAGAACAAGUACAAGAGUAACUGCUUGUACCUUGACGGUACCUAACCAGAAAGCCACGGCUAACUACGUGCCAGCAGCCGCGGUAAUACGUAGGUGGCAAGCGUUAUCCGGAAUUAUUGGGCGUAAAGCGCGCGCAGGCGGUUUCUUAAGUCUGAUGUGAAAGCCCACGGCUCAACCGUGGAGGGUCAUUGGAAACUGGGGAACUUGAGUGCAGAAGAGAAAAGCGGAAUUCCACGUGUAGCGGUGAAAUGCGUAGAGAUGUGGAGGAAC